GGAAGUAAAAGUCGUAACAAGGUUUCCGUAGGUGAACCUGCGGAAGGAUCAUUACCUAGAGUUUGUAGACUUCGGUCUGCUACCUCUUACCCAUGUCUUUUGAGUACCUUCGUUUCCUCGGCGGGUCCGCCCGCCGAUUGGACAACAUUCAAACCCUUUGCAGUUGCAAUCAGCGUCUGAAAAAACAUAAUAGUUACAACUUUCAACAACGGAUCUCUUGGUUCUGGCAUCGAUGAAGAACGCAGCGAAAUGCGAUAAGUAGUGUGAAUUGCAGAAUUCAGUGAAUCAUCGAAUCUUUGAACGCACAUUGCGCCCCUUGGUAUUCCAUGGGGCAUGCCUGUUCGAGCGUCAUUUGUACCUUCAAGCUCUGCUUGGUGUUGGGUGUUUGUCUCGCCUCUGCGUGUAGACUCGCCUUAAAACAAUUGGCAGCCGGCGUAUUGAUUUCGGAGCGCAGUACAUCUCGCGCUUUGCACUCAUAACGACGACGUCCAAAAGUACAUUUUUACACUCUUGACCUCGGAUCAGGUAGGGAUACCCGCUGAACUUAAGCAUAUCAAUAAGCGGAGGA
RNAcentral lists this ribosomal RNA (568 nucleotides) under Pteris vittata (Chinese brake). RNAcentral's name for it is "eukaryotic LSU rRNA". The stretch from base 198 to 351 matches the Rfam family "5.8S ribosomal RNA". Lineage: Eukaryota; Viridiplantae; Streptophyta; Polypodiopsida; Polypodiales; Pteridaceae. RNAcentral also lists the same sequence under 1 other name. The record is from RNAcentral.